UCUCAGCCCCGAGGGUGCCGUUCCCCACCGGAUUUCCAAAGGCUUAAGAGCACCUUCCUCCUCCCGGGAUCUCAGACGGCCGGGAUUCUAGGCUCCUCGGCGGACCCAGAUGCACAGGGGUCAAGCCCGGAAGACGCGAUUACUAAGAUUCUGUUGGACUCUUGGAGCCCUCUCAUCUGUCUGAGAUUGUGUAGAGAGGCCUGAGGAAGAAGACAGUUUCGCCUGCCCCUGCCUCGGGAUCCUCGGGGCUUGGGAUGUGUAAUCCAGGUUCUUCCCGAUGCUGUGAGUAAAACUGGAUACCCUCACCCAAGGAUGCUUCAUGGGAGGAAGGUUCGACAUUAGAUUGAUAAGCUCAAGGAUGGAAGAGGGUGUUUGAGAGUCUGAUGCAAGAGAAAAGAUAUACAGUGUCCUCUUGGGCAUACCC
This is a long non-coding RNA of Chionomys nivalis (European snow vole), 424 nucleotides long. RefSeq lists it as uncharacterized. The record is from RefSeq and is a predicted model, not a curated record. Lineage: Eukaryota; Metazoa; Chordata; Mammalia; Rodentia; Cricetidae. The transcript has 3 exons.